GCAGGCUUAACACAUGCAAGUCGAACGGUAACAGGUAAGUACUUGUACUUAUGCUGACGAGUGGCGGACGGGUGAGUAAUGCUUGGGGAUCUGGCUUAUGGAGGGGGAUAACGACGGGAAACUGUCGCUAAUACCGCGUAGAAUCGGGAGAUGAAAGUGUGGGACCUUCGGGCCACAUGCCAUAGGAUGAACCCAAGUGGGAUUAGGUAGUUGGUGGGGUAAUGGCCUACCAAGCCGACGAUCUCUAGCUGGUCUGAGAGGAUGACCAGCCACACCGGGACUGAGACACGGCCCGGACUCCUACGGGAGGCAGCAGUGGGGAAUAUUGCGCAAUGGGGGCAACCCUGACGCAGCCAUGCCGCGUGAAUGAAGAAGGCCUUCGGGUUGUAAAGUUCUUUCGGUGACGAGGAAGGUUGUUGUGUUAAUAGCGCAACAAAUUGACGUUAAUCACAGAAGAAGCACCGGCUAACUCCGUGCCAGCAGCCGCGGUAAUACGGAGGGUGCGAGCGUUAAUCGGAAUAACUGGGCGUAAAGGGCACGCAGGCGGACUUUUAAGUGAGGUGUGAAAUCCCCGGGCUUAACCUGGGAAUUGCAUUUCAGACUGGGGGUCUAGAGUACUUUAGGGAGGGGUAGAAUUCCACGUGUAGCGGUGAAAUGCGUAGAGAUGUGGAGGAAUACCGAAGGCGAAGGCAGCCCCUUGGGAAUGUACUGACGCUCAUGUGCGA
This 725-nucleotide ribosomal RNA is filed under the name Aggregatibacter aphrophilus. RNAcentral describes it as "bacterial SSU rRNA". It matches the Rfam family "Bacterial small subunit ribosomal RNA", at positions 42 to 756 of the family's 1533-position model. The record is from RNAcentral. Lineage: Bacteria; Pseudomonadati; Pseudomonadota; Gammaproteobacteria; Pasteurellales; Pasteurellaceae.